UAGGGAAUAUUGCAAAAUGGGCGAAAGCCCGAUGCAGCAACGCCGCGUGGGCGAUGAAGGCCUUCGGGUCGUAAAGCCCUUUUUGAGGGGAUGAGGAAGGACAGUACCCUCAGAAUAAGCCUCGGCUAACUACGUGCCAGCAGCCGUGGUAAAACGUAGGAGGCGAGCGUUAUCCGGAUUUACUGGGCGUAAAGCGCGUGCAGGCGGAUUGGAGAGUUGGAUGUGAAAGCUCCCGGCUUAACUGGGAGAGGUCGUUCAAUACUUCCAGUCUUGAGUGCAGUAGAGGGAAGUGGAAUUCCGGGUGUAGUGGUGAAAUGCGUAGAUAUCCGGAGGAACACCAGUGGCGAAAGCGGCUUCCUGGACUGUAACUGACGCUCAGACGCGAAAGCUAGGGUAGCAAACG
This 403-nucleotide ribosomal RNA is filed under the name uncultured bacterium. RNAcentral describes it as "bacterial SSU rRNA". It matches the Rfam family "Bacterial small subunit ribosomal RNA", at positions 355 to 774 of the family's 1533-position model. The record is from RNAcentral.